This 681-nucleotide ribosomal RNA is filed under the name uncultured Serratia sp. Its description in RNAcentral is "bacterial SSU rRNA". It matches the Rfam family "Bacterial small subunit ribosomal RNA", at positions 789 to 1470 of the family's 1533-position model. The record is from RNAcentral. Lineage: Bacteria; Pseudomonadati; Pseudomonadota; Gammaproteobacteria; Enterobacterales; Yersiniaceae.
GGUAGUCCACGCUGUAAACGAUGUCGAUUUGGAGGUUGUGCCCUUGAGGCGUGGCUUCCGGAGCUAACGCGUUAAAUCGACCGCCUGGGGAGUACGGCCGCAAGGUUAAAACUCAAAUGAAUUGACGGGGGCCCGCACAAGCGGUGGAGCAUGUGGUUUAAUUCGAUGCAACGCGAAGAACCUUACCUACUCUUGACAUCCAGAGAACUUUCCAGAGAUGGAUUGGUGCCUUCGGGAACUCUGAGACAGGUGCUGCAUGGCUGUCGUCAGCUCGUGUUGUGAAAUGUUGGGUUAAGUCCCGCAACGAGCGCAACCCUUAUCCUUUGUUGCCAGCGGUUCGGCCGGGAACUCAAAGGAGACUGCCAGUGAUAAACUGGAGGAAGGUGGGGAUGACGUCAAGUCAUCAUGGCCCUUACGAGUAGGGCUACACACGUGCUACAAUGGCAUAUACAAAGAGAAGCGACCUCGCGAGAGCAAGCGGACCUCAUAAAGUAUGUCGUAGUCCGGAUUGGAGUCUGCAACUCGACUCCAUGAAGUCGGAAUCGCUAGUAAUCGUAGAUCAGAAUGCUACGGUGAAUACGUUCCCGGGCCUUGUACACACCGCCCGUCACACCAUGGGAGUGGGUUGCAAAAGAAGUAGGUAGCUUAACCUUCGGGAGGGCGCUUACCACUUUGUGAUUC